AUUGAACGCUGGCGGCAUGCCUUACACAUGCAAGUCGAACGGUAACAGGUCUUCGGAUGCUGACGAGUGGCGAACGGGUGAGUAAUACAUCGGAACGCGCCUAGUAGUGGGGGAUAACUACUCGAAAGAGUGGCUAAUACCGCAUGAGAUCUACGGAUGAAAGCAGGGGAUCGCAAGACCUUGUGCUACUAGAGCGGCCGAUGGCAGAUUAGGUAGGUGGUGGGAUAAAAGCUUACCAAGCCGACGAUCUGUAGCUGGUCUGAGAGGACGAUCAGCCACACUGGGACUGAGACACGGCCCAGACUCCUACGGGAGGCAGCAGUGGGGAAUUUUGGACAAUGGGCGCAAGCCUGAUCCAGCAAUGCCGCGUGCAGGAUGAAGGCCUUCGGGUUGUAAACUGCUUUUGUACGGAACGAAAAGCCCCGGGUUAAUACCCUGGGGUCAUGACGGUACCGUAAGAAUAAGCACCGGCUAACUACGUGCCAGCCGCCGCCGUAA
This 498-nucleotide ribosomal RNA is filed under the name uncultured bacterium. Its description in RNAcentral is "partial 16S ribosomal RNA". It matches the Rfam family "Bacterial small subunit ribosomal RNA", at positions 30 to 523 of the family's 1533-position model. The record is from RNAcentral.